RNAcentral lists this long non-coding RNA (656 nucleotides) under Eucalyptus grandis. RNAcentral describes it as "long non-coding RNA (EGRA_LNC005328)". The record is from RNAcentral. Lineage: Eukaryota; Viridiplantae; Streptophyta; Magnoliopsida; Myrtales; Myrtaceae.
AGUCGAAGAAGACUCGCCGUCGUCGUCCCUACCAUUCGUCACCGUCUACCCCGGAACCCAGAUCCGAAGAAACGGAGGGGAGGAGGGCAGUGGCAGCGCUGCCCGACGCCAUCCUCGCCGCUGCCCUCCUCGCCGCCUCAACACCAGCAACCAGCCGAACCCCCCUGCCUGCCGUCCUCCGUCCGAGCCUCGCACCGGCCCACACCUCCGCGCUGCUGCUCUUGCUCUGCUCGUCACCGCUACUCCGCGCCCCUGAAGUCACAACACUGCCUUUGGCCAGAUCUGCCGGCCUUGCCUCUGCCCAGAUCUGUCGUGCCGAAGCACGACCCCGUGGCAUCGCGCGUCCACGCAUCGUCACUGCUGCAAUCUGAGUGACCCACUGCACCAAGCCACCGCCCUCCUGUCCAAGCACCAGAUCCCGAGCCCCCACGACGCCGCCUCUGCUCCUGGUUGCUAAUCCUCGCCGCCGAGUCCCGUCUCGCCUAGCCACCGCACGCCUCGGCCGCGUCUUCGCUGAGUCCCGACGACGGCAGAUCGAGCUGGUCGUCACUCCACCGCCAAGCGAGCCCCCCCACCGGCCCACACCUCCGCGCUGCUGCUCCUGGCCGCGUCUCCACCAGUCACCGCCGCGCUCCGUCUCACCUGCAGUCCACCGC